This 113-nucleotide ribosomal RNA is filed under the name Sinocyclocheilus grahami. Lineage: Eukaryota; Metazoa; Chordata; Actinopteri; Cypriniformes; Cyprinidae. The record is from RNAcentral.
UACGGCAGCCAUAUCACCCUGUAGCCCAAGCCUGGUUGCCCACUGAAGCUAAGCAGGGCUGAGCCUGGUCAGUACCUGGAUGGGAGACCUCCUGGGAAAACUUGCUGCUGGAA